GAUGAACGCUGGCGGCGUGCCUAACACAUGCAAGUCGAACGAACCUAAUCUUCGGAAAGGGUUAGUGGCGCACGGGUGAGUAACACGUAGGUGACCUGCCCCGAAGUGGGGGAUAACUUCUCGAAAGAGAAGCUAAUACCGCAUAUGCUCAGCCAUUCAGUUGGUUGAGUAAAGCUCCGGCGCUUCGGGAGGGGCCUGCGUCCGAUUAGCUAGUUGGUGGGGUAAUGGCCUACCAAGGCGAUGAUCGGUAGCUGGUCUGAGAGGACGAUCAGCCACACUGGCACUGACACACGGGCCAGACUCCUACGGGAGGCAGCAGUGAGGAAUAUUGGUCAAUGGGCGAAAGCCUGAACCAGUAACGCCGCGUGAGGGAUGAAGGCCUCGGUCGUAACCGUACUUUCUUGGUA
Molecule: ribosomal RNA, 407 nt
Filed under: uncultured bacterium
Lineage: Bacteria
Description: bacterial SSU rRNA
Rfam family: Bacterial small subunit ribosomal RNA
Source: RNAcentral